ACUCCUACGGGAGGCAGCAGUGGGGAAUAUUGGACAAUGGGCGCAAGCCUGAUCCAGCCAUGCCCGUGUGUGAAGAAGGCCUUCGGGUUGCCCAGCACUUUCAGUGGUGAGGAAAGGUUGGUGGUUAAUACCCAUCAGCUGUACUUAGCCACAGAAGAAGCACCGGCUAACUCCGUGCCGCAGCCGCGGUAA
This 192-nucleotide ribosomal RNA is filed under the name uncultured bacterium. Its description in RNAcentral is "partial 16S ribosomal RNA". It matches the Rfam family "Bacterial small subunit ribosomal RNA", at positions 335 to 523 of the family's 1533-position model. The record is from RNAcentral.